Molecule: ribosomal RNA, 246 nt
Filed under: uncultured bacterium
Lineage: Bacteria
Description: partial 16S ribosomal RNA
Rfam family: Bacterial small subunit ribosomal RNA
Source: RNAcentral
GCAAGUCGAACGGUAACAUGAACUAGCUUGCUAGUUUGAUGACGAGUGGCGGACGGGUGAGUAAUGCUUGGGAAUUUGCCUUUAGGUGGGGGACAACAGUUGGAAACGACUGCUAAUACCGCAUAUUGUCUACGGACUAAAGAGGGCUUCGGCUCUCGCCUUUAGAGAAGCCCAAGUGGGAUUAGAUAGUUGGUGGGGUAAUGGCUCACCAAGUCAGCGAUCCCUAGCUGGUCUGAGAGGAUGAUC